Felis catus (domestic cat) is the source of this 85-nucleotide non-coding RNA. The record is from Rfam. Lineage: Eukaryota; Metazoa; Chordata; Mammalia; Carnivora; Felidae.
GCCUGGGUGGCUCAGUCGGUUAAGCGUCCGACUUCAGCUCAGGUCACGAUCUCGCGGUCCGUGAGUUCCAGCCCCGCCUCGGGCU